This 24-nucleotide microRNA is filed under the name Taeniopygia guttata (zebra finch). RNAcentral's name for it is "tgu-miR-2979-3p". The record is from miRBase by way of RNAcentral. Lineage: Eukaryota; Metazoa; Chordata; Aves; Passeriformes; Estrildidae.
CUCAGUUCCUUGGGUUCUGCUGCU